This 210-nucleotide small RNA is filed under the name Arabidopsis thaliana (thale cress). Its description in RNAcentral is "ATSL273450". Lineage: Eukaryota; Viridiplantae; Streptophyta; Magnoliopsida; Brassicales; Brassicaceae. The record is from RNAcentral.
CAAGAGAGAUUAAUGAUGCACGAACUCAUAUGAAAGAAGAGUUCAAAAUGAAAGAUCUUGGAAAGACAAAAUUUGUCUUGAACUUCAAAUUGAGCAUUUGAAGGUAUAUUUGUGCAUCAAUCCAACUAUAUAAAAAAUAUUUUAAACCGCUUUAAUAUGGAUAAAGCGAAUCUUUUAAUUACUCCUAUGGUAAAUAGAUCUUUAAAUGUU